GCAAACGAGCGCAACCCUUAUCCUUUGUUGCCAGCGGUUCGGCCGGGAACUCAAAGGAGACUGCCAGUGAUAAACUGGAGGAAGGUGGGGAUGACGUCAAGUCAUCAUGGCCCUUACGAGUAGGGCUACACACGUGCUACAAUGGCAUAUACAAAGAGAAGCGACCUCGCGAGAGCAAGCGGACCUCAUAAAGUAUGUCGUAGUCCGGAUUGGAGUCUGCAACUCGACUCCAUGAAGUCGGAAUCGCUAGUAAUCGUAGAUCAGAAUGCUACGGUGAAUACGUUCCCGGGCCUUGUACACACCGCCCGUCACACCAUGGGAGUGGGUUGCAAAAGAAGUAGGUAGCUUAACCUUCGGGAGGGCGCUUACCACUUUGUGAUUCAUGACUGGGGUGAAGUCGUAACAGGGUAAC
This 412-nucleotide ribosomal RNA is filed under the name uncultured Kluyvera sp. RNAcentral describes it as "bacterial SSU rRNA". It matches the Rfam family "Bacterial small subunit ribosomal RNA", at positions 1088 to 1500 of the family's 1533-position model. The record is from RNAcentral. Lineage: Bacteria; Pseudomonadati; Pseudomonadota; Gammaproteobacteria; Enterobacterales; Enterobacteriaceae.